This 253-nucleotide ribosomal RNA is filed under the name uncultured bacterium. RNAcentral describes it as "partial 16S ribosomal RNA". It matches the Rfam family "Bacterial small subunit ribosomal RNA", at positions 524 to 776 of the family's 1533-position model. The record is from RNAcentral.
UACGUAGGCAGCAAGCGUUGUUCGGAAUCACUGGGCGUAAAGGGCGUCUAGGCGGUCAGAUAAGUGGGAUGUGAAAUGCCCCGGCUCACCCGGGGACCGGCAUCCCAAACUGUCUGGCUUGAGUAUGGGAGAGGAUGUGGGAAUUCCUGGUGUAGCGGUGAAAUGCGUAGAUAUCAGGAGGAACACCGGUGGCGAAGGCGCACAUCUGGCCCAAUACUGACGCUAAAGCGCGAAAGCUAGGGGAGCAAACGGG